Molecule: ribosomal RNA, 253 nt
Filed under: Collinsella aerofaciens ATCC 25986
Lineage: Bacteria; Bacillati; Actinomycetota; Coriobacteriia; Coriobacteriales; Coriobacteriaceae
Also listed under: 3 other names
Description: partial 16S ribosomal RNA
Rfam family: Bacterial small subunit ribosomal RNA
Source: RNAcentral
UACGUAGGGGGCGAGCGUUAUCCGGAUUCAUUGGGCGUAAAGCGCGCGUAGGCGGCCCGGCAGGCCGGGGGUCGAAGCGGGGGGCUCAACCCCCCGAAGCCCCCGGAACCUCCGCGGCUUGGGUCCGGUAGGGGAGGGUGGAACACCCGGUGUAGCGGUGGAAUGCGCAGAUAUCGGGUGGAACACCGGUGGCGAAGGCGGCCCUCUGGGCCGAGACCGACGCUGAGGCGCGAAAGCUGGGGGAGCGAACAGG